AUGAUGAACAUUAUACAUGAUGGAGGCAGCUACGAAUACGGACAAGUGGAUGACUCCCAGCCGAAGGAACAACCACAGUCAGACACCCUGCAGCCGGACAUGGAUCCAGAGGAGCACUGGCCGCCUGGUGCCAACCCAAAGAAGAAGCAGAGGGGACUUAAUUUCUUCCUAGAGGAGGAUGAAUUGGUGUGUGAGGCAUGGUUGGCUAGUAGUAGCAAUCUGUUUCAGGGUACAGAGCAAAGGGGCGCGAAGUUCUGGCAAAGCUUGCACACUUGGUUUCACAAGCAAAAGCACUACGAUCCCAACCGCGCAACAGUGAUCCAUCAACGCAAUUCGAAGUUGCUCGAUGGUACAACAUUCAAAAGUUUUGCAGUUGCUACAAACAAGUGA
RNAcentral lists this ribosomal RNA (390 nucleotides) under Triticum aestivum (bread wheat). RNAcentral describes it as "partial small subunit ribosomal RNA". Lineage: Eukaryota; Viridiplantae; Streptophyta; Magnoliopsida; Poales; Poaceae. The record is from RNAcentral.